RNAcentral lists this transfer RNA (82 nucleotides) under Chlorobiota bacterium. RNAcentral's name for it is "Chlorobiota bacteirum tRNA-Leu". It matches the Rfam family "tRNA". From Rfam's summary of the family: Transfer RNA (tRNA) molecules are approximately 80 nucleotides in length. The record is from RNAcentral. Lineage: Bacteria; Pseudomonadati; Chlorobiota.
GCGGGUGUGGCGGAAUUGGUAGACGCGCCAGACUUAGGAUCUGGUGCCUUCGGGCAUGGGGGUUCGAGUCCCUCCAUCCGCA